AAUGUCAGUUCUCAAAAGUACUUUCUAUAGAUUUUUUUUUUUUACCUUUCAUCUAAAAUUUCAAAUGUAUUGAGUAUGUUUGGAAUUUUCCUUCCUUUCUCUUUAAUUGUGUGGAUCUGGAUAUGAAUUCCCUAUCUUAUUAGAAAUAAUACAUGUCUUUUAGGUAUUUAGAGUUAACCAUUUCAUUAUUUUCAAACAACAACAACAAAAACAACAAACAAAAACAAAACAAAAUGAAAACCAACUCUGAAGGGUAAGGGUGUGUUUCCUAUCUGAAAAAUCAGCCCUUCAGAAGUAGAGCCAGAAAAAUUGCAGCGAGUUAAAACUAGUGAAUUGCAGGCCAGCAACGACUGCAUAGUGCGAUCUUGUGUCAGAACACCUCCAGAAAGGAAGCUUGAGAGUUUGCUCUGUGGUUAAGAUCAUUGGCUUCUUCUCCAGAGGUCCUCGUUUGAUUAUCACCACCCACAUAGCACUUGACAACUGUCUGUAAUUCCAAUCCCAAGAACUCUGACUCCCUCUGCUGGACUCCACUACACAAAUGUGGUGCACAAACAUAUUACACACAUUACAUAAAACAAAAUGACAAAAAAAAAAGAGCUCACCCCCUAAUAUCAUAUGGUUAUGUUAUCCCUGUUUGAUUGUGUUCAUUUUGAUGCAAGUAAUUACAAAUUGUUACCCCCCCUCAAAUCUGAAAUAAGUAUAACACUCUCUCCACUGUGAGACACUAUCUCAGGUAAUUUAUUAGUUUGGUUUUCCCUGGUGGAGACAGGUCAGUUGGUGGCUGUGACCUUGAUUACACUUGUCUUCUGGUGCUCUGGUUCCUCAUAGACGUGUGUCCACUCAUUGCUUAUGGGCUGUGUUGGCUUGAUUUUGGCUUGAACUCUACGUAUUUUCUUGUUUAUUUACACAUAUUGACUAGACACUUUCUGGUAGCUUCUUAAAAGUAGGCUACUUAGAGAUAAAAUGUUAGAAAACAUACUUCUCUAUCUUCACACUUAGAAUGAACGGGUGUUUGAAGGCAG
This 1022-nucleotide long non-coding RNA is filed under the name Mus musculus (house mouse). RNAcentral's name for it is "long non-coding RNA chr10:91910863-91911885". Lineage: Eukaryota; Metazoa; Chordata; Mammalia; Rodentia; Muridae. The record is from RNAcentral.